This 151-nucleotide unclassified non-coding RNA is filed under the name uncultured Toxicocladosporium. Its description in RNAcentral is "sequence contains ITS2". Lineage: Eukaryota; Fungi; Ascomycota; Dothideomycetes; Capnodiales. The record is from RNAcentral.
CACCACUCAAGCCUCGCUUGGUAUUGGGCGACGCGGUCCGCCGCGCGCCUCAAAUCGACCGGCUGGGUCGAUCGCACCCUCAGCGUUGUGGAAACUAUUCGCUAAAGGAGUUGUCGGUCGGUCACGCCGUGAAACAACCCAAUUUUUCUAU